This 439-nucleotide ribosomal RNA is filed under the name uncultured bacterium. RNAcentral describes it as "bacterial SSU rRNA". It matches the Rfam family "Bacterial small subunit ribosomal RNA", at positions 337 to 793 of the family's 1533-position model. The record is from RNAcentral.
UCCUACGGGAGGCAGCAGUGGGGAAUAUUGGACAAUGGGCGCAAGCCUGAUCCAGCAAUGCCGCGUGAGUGAUGAAGGCCUUCGGGUCGUAAAGCUCUUUUACCAGGGAUGAUAAUGACAGUACCUGGAGAAUAAGCUCCGGCUAACUCCGUGCCAGCAGCCGCGGUAAUACGGAGGGAGCUAGCGUUGUUCGGAAUUACUGGGCGUAAAGCGCACGUAGGCGGUUACUCAAGUCAGAGGUGAAAGCCCGGGGCUCAACCCCGGAACAGCCUUUGAAACUAGGUGACUGGAAUCUUGGAGAGGCGAGUGGAAUUCCGAGUGUAGAGGUGAAAUUCGUAGAUAUUCGGAAGAACACCAGUGGCGAAGGCGACUCGCUGGACAAGUAUUGACGCUGAGGUGCGAAAGCGUGGGGAGCAAACAGGAUUAAAUACCCUGGUAG